Molecule: ribosomal RNA, 634 nt
Filed under: Penicillium parvulum
Lineage: Eukaryota; Fungi; Ascomycota; Eurotiomycetes; Eurotiales; Aspergillaceae
Description: eukaryotic LSU rRNA
Rfam family: Eukaryotic large subunit ribosomal RNA
Source: RNAcentral
UUGACCUCGGAUCAGGUAGGGAUACCCGCUGAACUUAAGCAUAUCAAUAAGCGGAGGAAAAGAAACCAACAGGGAUUGCCCCAGUAACGGCGAGUGAAGCGGCAAGAGCUCAAAUUUGAAAGCUGGCCCCCUCGGGGUCCGCAUUGUAAUUUGCAGAGGAUGCUUCGGGAGCGGUCCCCAUCUAAGUACCCUGGAACGGGUCGUCAUAGAGGGUGAGAAUCCCGUAUGGGAUGGGGUGUCCGCGCCCGUGUGAAGCUCCUUCGACGAGUCGAGUUGUUUGGGAAUGCAGCUCUAAAUGGGUGGUAAAUUUCAUCUAAAGCUAAAUAUUGGCCGGAGACCGAUAGCGCACAAGUAGAGUGAUCGAAAGAUGAAAAGCACUUUGAAAAGAGAGUUAAAAAGCACGUGAAAUUGUUGAAAGGGAAGCGCUUGCGACCAGACUCGCCCGCGGGGUUCAGCCGGCAUUCGUGCCGGUGUACUUCCCCGCGGGCGGGCCAGCGUCGGUUUGGGCGGCCGGUCAAAGGCCCUCGGAAUGUAACGCCCCUCGGGGCGUCUUAUAGCCGAGGGUGCCAUGCGGCCUGCCCGGACCGAGGAACGCGCUUCGGCUCGGACGCUGGCAUAAUGGUCGUAAGCGACC